Molecule: ribosomal RNA, 587 nt
Filed under: Suhomyces maxii
Lineage: Eukaryota; Fungi; Ascomycota; Pichiomycetes; Serinales; Debaryomycetaceae
Description: eukaryotic LSU rRNA
Rfam family: Eukaryotic large subunit ribosomal RNA
Source: RNAcentral
AUAUCAAUAAGCGGAGGAAAAGAAACCAACCGGGAUUGCCUUAGUAACGGCGAGUGAAGCGGCAAAAGCUCAAAUUUGAAAUCUGGCUCCUUUGCGGGGGUCCGAGUUGUAAUUUGAAGAAGCGACUUUGGGCCUGGCUCUUGUCUAUGUUCCUUGGAACAGGACGUCACAGAGGGUGAGAAUCCCGUGCGAUGAGAGACCCAGGUUCGUGUAAAGCGUUUUCGACGAGUCGAGUUGUUUGGGAAUGCAGCUCUAAGUGGGUGGUAAAUUCCAUCUAAAGCUAAAUAUUGGCGAGAGACCGAUAGCGAACAAGUACAGUGAUGGAAAGAUGAAAAGAACUUUGAAAAGAGAGUGAAAAAGUACGUGAAAUUGUUGAAAGGGAAGGGCUUGAGAUCAGACUUUGUUUUUCCAUGGCGCUCUUUCGGGGGUGUCCUCUGGGUCUACAGGGCCAGCAUGGGUUUUGCGGGCGAGACAAGGACCUAGGAAUGUGGCUCUGCUUCGGUGGAGUGUUAUAGCCUGGGGUACUGGUCGCCAUGCGGGACCGAGGACUGCGGUACUAGGAUGCUGGCAUAAUGAUCUUAAGCCGC